AUGGGGUGAACAAAUGGAAACACCUCCCAUUGUAAAUGAGUUGUAACCUUUAUGAAGGUAGACUGCAUUAGUUUUAGCCAGAUUUUUUUUGUUGCCUUUAUUGGACAUUCAACAGUGAAGAGGCAGAAAGGAAACCAGGGAACGAGAGACAGGAUGGUCAGCAAGUGCAUGGUUGGUGUACAUCAAGAGAACAGUGCAGUAUAGGCCUGAAUGUCCCUACAGUAAAGGUGUCCAGUUGCUCUGUAAGGUUAUGGGAGACAUUUUCCUGGUGUCGUUUGGGUCCACUUAUCUCAUU
Molecule: long non-coding RNA, 295 nt
Organism: Micropterus dolomieu (smallmouth bass)
Lineage: Eukaryota; Metazoa; Chordata; Actinopteri; Centrarchiformes; Centrarchidae
Exons: 3
Source: RefSeq, a predicted model, not a curated record